This 73-nucleotide transfer RNA is filed under the name Diaphorina citri (Asian citrus psyllid). It matches the Rfam family "tRNA". Rfam says of the family: Transfer RNA (tRNA) molecules are approximately 80 nucleotides in length. Their secondary structure includes four short double-helical elements and three loops (D, anti-codon, and T loops). Further hydrogen bonds mediate the characteristic L-shaped molecular structure. tRNAs have two regions of fundamental functional importance: the anti-codon, which is responsible for specific mRNA codon recognition, and the 3' end, to which the tRNAs corresponding amino acid is attached (by aminoacyl-tRNA synthetases). tRNAs cope with the degeneracy of the genetic code in two manners: having more than one tRNA (with a specific anti-codon) for a particular amino acid; and 'wobble' base-pairing, i.e. permitting non-standard base-pairing at the 3rd anti-codon position. Lineage: Eukaryota; Metazoa; Arthropoda; Insecta; Hemiptera; Psyllidae. The record is from Rfam by way of RNAcentral.
GCCUAGGUAGCUUAGUUGGUAGUGCGUCUGCCUUGUAAGCGCUAGGCCGCGGGUUCGAUUCCCGCCCGGGCCG